CGGCGCGUGCAUAUUUAGAUGAAAGCGCCACACGAGUUUAGUCGCACAGAAAAUUCUGGAAGAACAUGGCGGCUGAGCUGUUUAGCAAGGCAAACGAAGAGUUCGUCAGUGAGAAUUAUCAGCGCGCAAUCGAGCUCUAUUCUGAAGCCAUCCAGGCAGAAGGUGAGAGAGAUGAGUUCU
Haliotis rubra (blacklip abalone) is the source of this 180-nucleotide long non-coding RNA. RefSeq lists it as uncharacterized. The transcript has 3 exons. NCBI's taxonomy places the organism in Eukaryota, Metazoa, Mollusca, Gastropoda, Lepetellida, Haliotidae. The record is from RefSeq and is a predicted model, not a curated record.